GGAUAAAUGACUGAGUGGUCGAAGGUGCUAGUCUUGAAAACUAUUCUAUUUGUGAAAAUAGCGUGAGUUCGAAUCUCACUUUAUCCU
This 87-nucleotide transfer RNA is filed under the name Cryptomonas curvata. Its description in RNAcentral is "tRNA-Ser". It matches the Rfam family "tRNA". Rfam says of the family: Transfer RNA (tRNA) molecules are approximately 80 nucleotides in length. The record is from RNAcentral. Lineage: Eukaryota; Cryptophyceae; Cryptomonadales; Cryptomonadaceae.